AGGAAAAUGUCGCUGGUGGGGAGAGCGGCCCCGGGGUGGGAUGCCGUCACCCCUCGGAGCCUGUGCCACCAUCCCAUGCCACAUCCACCUGCAGCGUGGCUGAGCUUGAGGCUCAAACCCUUCCUGUGCUGGGAGCUGGGGAGAAAGCGGGCACAGCGCACAGAGCACCGCAGAGCUGGGGGCACAAGCUCCUGGAGCUCUGUGGGUUUGGCUGUGGUUUAAUGAGCCUGAGAGAAGCCCCGAGCGCAGCCCGCUGCCCUGCUCAGACAGCCGGCCGCGCAGCAGCCGAGGGGUUAAGCUGAGCCCCGGAGAUGUGCCGCACUCAGCAACUUGUAGGAAUGCAGUGGCCGGAGGGAGAUGGAGAAAGGACAAACAUCUGAAGAUGGAUGGAGUGUUUCGGUUCAGACCCGUUGUUGGACACGAUGAACUCAAAGUUAAUCACCAGAGUGUUUUCUGGGAAGUGCUCUGCUGGGUUAGAGCCCCAUCCUGCCAAAGACUUCCAGACUGGGUCAAGAACGCCAGGUUUUGUGCCGUGCGUAAGAUCGCCUGAGUUUGCUCUCCCAGCUUUGCAGAAGACAUUAGUUACACAGAGCUCACGGACGCAAUGGUACAUGGAAGGAAGCAUUCAGAGCAUUCAUAUUAAAUCUCAGCUGCACCACAGAGAGCGCAAGGAAAUCUGCCGCCGUCGGGCCUGGAAGGAGAAGCUGCGGGGCCUGGGCAGAGAGGGAGGAAAGCGAGGCCCUGCUCACUGCGUGGUCUGCAUGUGCGCUCCCUGCGGAUUUCCCCUAGCACGUGCCAUUGAACGCCACUUUUCUCACGCUUGGGCUGCCUGCACGACAUCCCUUCCUGGGGGACCUCGGCCAGGGGGCCUCCUGCCCCAACACCCCGAGCUCGGCUCCUUCCCGUCCCGCUGUGGCGGCGCAGAGCGGGGCCAGGGAUGGGCCAGCCCUGCACAGCCCUGGCACGUCCCAAAACCAGCGCUUCUGAAACCAAACCAAAUCUCCCUGGCCAAGCUCAUUUGGCACUGAUGAAAAAGCAAAAGAAAUCAGAAAGAGAAGCCUGGUCCCGCUCAGCCACGGGGCUGCUCCGUGCCACGGGCAGCCCCCAGCCCGGCCGUUCCCCCCGCAGCCGCGGGGGGGUCUCUGAGGGGCGGGGGGUGCAGGCUGUGGUCCGGAGGGGCGAGGGCGUGCACGCUGCCAGCAGCCCUGUCCCAAACCCACUGACACCCCAGUGCCGUCCCCUGAGACCCACGCUGCCCUCCCCGUCCUGCCUGGCUGCCACUCGCUGCGGGGAAGGUGCCGAGCCAGUGGAGAGUGGGGGUCACUGGUGGACCCGCAGCCAGGGUAAAGUGGGGCGUCAGAGCGGGGACAGCCCCGCUGCAAGGGGGGGCACUCUCAUCGCCCUCAACAAAACCCAGCCCCAAGGUGGAUUGCUACGGGAUGGAUCCACUGAAUAAACAGAGCCACUUUCCUGCAAAUGGGAUAAAAACGCGCAGAACCUCCUAAAGCAGCAGGGACGGUGUCAGCCAAAGCCAGGAGAAAAGUAUUGACUGAUGGAGGCACCAGAUACAGCCUGGGUUGCGCUGAGGAAUAUUUUGGCCUCGAAUGCCUAGAAAUGUUUUUGUUAAGUGUCACAAAGCACUUCAUCACUGCGAGAGGAUUUUGGGGUAACCACGGCGCAGCAGCUUUGUGUUCGUGCGAGAGGCUGAGGCGAGCCUGGCCAGGGAGUGAUUAGAAAUCAAAAAGGAACCAAUUAGCCCACUUCCCUCCACCAGCUGCACGGGAGUGCAGAAAUGAAACAAAAGGCAUGAGGGAGCAUAAGGAGAUUUACAUUUGCGAAGCUAUUUCCAUUUUAAUAAGCCAAAGUGCUGUUAAAUAGAGAUGGAUAUUUCUCCCCAAAUA
Long non-coding RNA from Cygnus olor (mute swan), 1901 nucleotides. RefSeq lists it as uncharacterized. The transcript has 2 exons. The record is from RefSeq and is a predicted model, not a curated record. Lineage: Eukaryota; Metazoa; Chordata; Aves; Anseriformes; Anatidae.